RNAcentral lists this long non-coding RNA (648 nucleotides) under Cyanistes caeruleus (blue tit). RNAcentral's name for it is "lncRNA (ENSCCEG00000001012.1)". The record is from RNAcentral. Lineage: Eukaryota; Metazoa; Chordata; Aves; Passeriformes; Paridae.
CCGCGGCCCGCGGGGGACAGGGCGGCCCACAGGGAGAGCCCCGAGGAAACGGGGAAGUGGAAGGUCCCCGUCCCCAGCUCCACGAGGCGCCCCCCUCGGUAAACGGUGGGAAAAAGGGGUUAAAGCAAAUAGUCCCAGCUGGCGUCCCGCUCUGCCUGGGAACAACCGCUUAACUUAAUCCUGGCUGGGUUCCACCCCACGGCAUGGCAAUGGCAGCGAGCUCUUCGGGGAGGUGGGGAAGCGGCAGCAGCACCGCCGGCGAAGGUUUAAAAACAAACCCGAAAGCAGCGCGUGAGCAGAAACGAGGGAUUAAAGGGAGUUUAGUGGAGCUUUGCUGGUGUGACACAAAUCCUGCAGUGAUAGAGUUGCAUUUGUUUAGUACUUCACAUGGUAAGUAAAGAGAUUCCUUCUUAGGGAUAAAGAUUGACAAUCCAGUCAAGAAUUAAAUGUAGAAAUGAAGGGCUCAAAAGGAAUCCAUAAAAAUAACUUUUAAAAUAAUAAUUAUAAUUGUUAUAAUUUUAUUAAUUAUGAGAUAGAGGGGGAAAUAUUCAAUUUUGGGGGUUCUAAACCAGUACCAUGGCCUUGAUCCUUUAUUAAAAUCCAUAUCUCUGUAAUAAAAAUUAAAGUCUGUUAGAACUUAGCCUAGGA